This 207-nucleotide ribosomal RNA is filed under the name Staphylococcus shinii. Its description in RNAcentral is "partial 23S ribosomal RNA". It matches the Rfam family "Bacterial large subunit ribosomal RNA", at positions 398 to 607 of the family's 2925-position model. The record is from RNAcentral. Lineage: Bacteria; Bacillati; Bacillota; Bacilli; Caryophanales; Staphylococcaceae.
UGAGUGGAUCCUGAGUACGACGGAACACGAGAAAUUCCGUCGGAAUCCGGGAGGACCAUCUCCCAAGGCUAAAUACUCUCUAGUGACCGAUAGUGAACCAGUACCGUGAGGGAAAGGUGAAAAGUACACCGGAAGGGGAGUGAAAUAGAACUUGAAACCGUGUGCUUACAAGUAGUCAGAGCCCGUUAAUGGGUGAUGGCGUGCCUU